This 421-nucleotide ribosomal RNA is filed under the name Heimioporus mandarinus. RNAcentral describes it as "eukaryotic LSU rRNA". It matches the Rfam family "Eukaryotic large subunit ribosomal RNA", at positions 66 to 508 of the family's 3401-position model. The record is from RNAcentral. Lineage: Eukaryota; Fungi; Basidiomycota; Agaricomycetes; Boletales; Boletaceae.
UAACAAGGAUUCCCCUAGUAACUGCGAGUGAAGCGGGAAAAGCUCAAAUUUUGAAUCUGGCGGGGCCGUCCGAGUUGUAAUCUAGAGAAGCGUCUUCCACGCUGGACCGUGUACAAGUCUCCUGGAAGGGAGCGUCAUAGAGGGUGAGAAUCCCGUCUUUGACACGGAUGUGAUGCGCUCUCGACGAGUCGAGUUGUUUGGGAAUGCAGCUCAAAACGGGUGGUAAAUUCCAUCUAAAGCUAAAUACAGGCGAGAGACCGAUAGCGAACAAGUACCGUGAGGGAAAGAUGAAAAGAACUUUGGAAAGAGAGUUAAACAGUACGUGAAAUUGCUGAAAGGGAAACGCUUGAUGUCAGUCGCGUCGACCGGGGAUCAACCUUGCGCUUGGUGUACUUCCUGGCUGACGGGUCAGCAUCAGUUU